GACGAACGCUGGCGGCGUGCUUAACACAUGCAAGUCGAACGAAGAGCGAUGGAAGCUUGCUUCUAUCAAUCUUAGUGGCGAACGGGUGAGUAACGCGUAAUCAACCUGCCCUUCAGAGGGGGACAACAGUUGGAAACGACUGCUAAUACCGCAUACGAUCCAAUCUCGGCAUCGGGACUGGAUGAAAGGUGGCCUCUAUUUAUAAGCUAUCACUGAAGGAGGGGAUUGCGUCUGAUUAGCUAGUUGGAGGGGUAACGGCCCACCAAGGCGAUGCUCAGUAGCCGGUCUGAGAGGAUGAACGGCCACAUUGGGACUGAGACACGGCCCAGACUCCUACGGGAGGCAGCAGUGGGGAAUCUUCCGCAAUGGACGAAAGGCUGACGGAGCAACGCCGCGUGAGGGAUGACGGCCUUCGGGUUGUAAAGCUCUGUUAAUCGGGACGAAUGGUUCUUGUGCGAAUAGUGCGAGGAUUUGACGGUACCGGAAUAGAAAGCCACGGCUAACUACGUG
RNAcentral lists this ribosomal RNA (510 nucleotides) under uncultured bacterium. RNAcentral describes it as "partial 16S ribosomal RNA". It matches the Rfam family "Bacterial small subunit ribosomal RNA", at positions 28 to 507 of the family's 1533-position model. The record is from RNAcentral.